RNAcentral lists this RNase P RNA (350 nucleotides) under Lachnospiraceae bacterium. RNAcentral's name for it is "RNase P RNA component class A". It matches the Rfam family "Bacterial RNase P class A". Rfam says of the family: Ribonuclease P (RNase P) is a ubiquitous endoribonuclease, found in archaea, bacteria and eukarya as well as chloroplasts and mitochondria. Its best characterised activity is the generation of mature 5'-ends of tRNAs by cleaving the 5'-leader elements of precursor-tRNAs. Lineage: Bacteria; Bacillati; Bacillota; Clostridia; Lachnospirales; Lachnospiraceae. The record is from RNAcentral.
UGAGCAGCGUGGAUGGUCGCGCCUGUAAAUGCCGAAAGGCUGCAGGUGAGGAAAGUCCGAGCUUCACAGGGCAGGAUGCCGGAUAACGUCCGGUGGAGGUGACUCCCAGGCCAGUGCAACAGAAAUAAACCGCCUGUGUAUGCAGGUAAGGGUGGAAAGGCGGGGUAAGAGCCCACCGCUUUUGUGGUAACACAAAAGGCACAUGUAAACCCCAUCCGAAGCAAGACCGAACAGAAAGCUAUACGGCGGCCCGUCGUGCUUUCGGGUAGGUCGCUAGAGCUUAUCGGUAACGGUAAGACCAGAUAGAUGACCAUCUUAGACAGAACUCGGCUUAUAGCGCUGCUCAUUUU